This 139-nucleotide ribosomal RNA is filed under the name Escherichia coli. RNAcentral describes it as "partial 23S ribosomal RNA". It matches the Rfam family "Bacterial large subunit ribosomal RNA", at positions 1 to 129 of the family's 2925-position model. The record is from RNAcentral. Lineage: Bacteria; Pseudomonadati; Pseudomonadota; Gammaproteobacteria; Enterobacterales; Enterobacteriaceae.
GGGUUGUGAGGUUAAGCGACUAAGCGUACACGGUGGAUGCCCUGGCAGUCAGAGGCGAUGAAGGACGUGCUAAUCUGCGAUAAGCGUCGGUGAGGUGAUAUGAACCGUUAUAACCGGCGAUUUCCGAAUGGGGAAACCC